Long non-coding RNA from Hydractinia symbiolongicarpus, 2127 nucleotides. RefSeq lists it as uncharacterized. The transcript has 2 exons. NCBI's taxonomy places the organism in Eukaryota, Metazoa, Cnidaria, Hydrozoa, Anthoathecata, Hydractiniidae. The record is from RefSeq and is a predicted model, not a curated record.
AAAGACUUUCCCUGUCUAUUGACUUGCAAAAGACUUUUCCACGAUUCCGGCGCAAAACUGCUGAUACCCAAUACAGUAAACAUUUUCUCUUGCCAUAUGUGAAAAAAAUUAGAGAUGGCAGGCUAUCCGAUAUCGUCAAACGGCAAUUUGUUUCCGCGGUUGGAAAAAAUAAUUGGAUCAACGUAUUACCAAUAAUAAUUAUUGAAUCAAUUAUUAUCACUAUUUUUAAGUUAGAGGAAAUCAAUAUUGUUUGGAAUAAAAUAAUAAUUUUUUUUAUUGGAUCUAAUCUCAAUAAUAUAAAUUUCGCGCAACAACAAUAAUAUAAUUGAUCCAACGCCUGCCGGUUGUCGUUAUACAUAGGAUGUCAGGCUAUCCUGUUUUCAAAUAGGAACAUCCUAAUAAUAAUAAUAAUAAUAAUAAUAAUAAUAAUAAUAAUAAUAAUAAUAAUUAUAGCGAUAAGGUGGAAUAAUUCGGACCCAUUAGUAAAAGGGUGAAAUAAGAAAAAGACAAAGUAAUUGAGCAAAAUGCAUCGUUUUUUUGAAUUCUUGACAUUUCUAACUUUAUUUUAUGUCAUUUGUGUCAGCUGAAAAAUGAUCCGUGAUGAAAAUAUUUUCGUUUGGUCCGAUAUGUUCCACCAUUUGAUAUACGCGUGCAACCGCUUUACGGAAGGAUUUACACCAUUGUUAUUGAAUAUUUUUGUUCAUUUAUCCUUUUGCAAUUUUAACUCAAAGACGAUUUUUUUUGGUGGUAGGUAUAUUAUUUUAAAUUUUUAAGGUAGCCUGAAAAACCCAGCAAACUUCUUGAAGGGUCGUUUGAGAACAACUUGCACUAGAAAACGAAAAAUGGUUAUUAGUAUGCUGCAACAUAAAUCCUGAAAUUCCGAUCUUCUGUAGAAAUUUGAACGUUGCGAGGAUGUGAGAUGAAAUAUUUAAGUUAUGUACUAACUUUUCUCUUAAGUUUUAUCAAAUAAGGAUUAAAAUUUGCCCAAAAUUUGGAAUAAAAAAGUUACAUUAGUCCGACAUGUUCCACCAUUUGAUAUCCAUUGUUUAUAUACGCCAUGUUGUCAUUUAAGCGUCUUGUCGGAAUGAUUGUUUUAGUAUGGCGUGCCAACAAUUUAUGAAUUUGUAACUUUGAUCCCGCAAAAAUUGUAGCAAUCAUUUACUAUGUUGUUCCCGAAGAGAAGAUGUGCAUGAGAUAUUACUCUAUUUAGUGUAUUUGUUUUUGCUGUUUGUUAUUGUUAAUUUUUAUUAGCUAUCACAUUUUCUGCUUAUUGUGAUUUUCUAAGAGUAGCUUCUAGUUUGUUUUGACUGAAGAAUGUAUAAAUGUCAACUAUCAUUUUAGAUUAGUAGGGGCUAGCAAGGGCUAGCAUAUUGCUAGCUAGCUAGCUAGUUAUUGUUGUAUACAUUUGAAAGAAAGUAAGAUAGCUAUGCAUGGUUGAUUUGUCGGUAGCAUGCAAAUUGUUGCACUAUAACUAAAUGUCUUAAAUAAUGUGUAGCAUAUACCAUCUUAAUUAUGUGAUUAUAUUAUAUUAAAAAACAGAGGCAAGAAUCUAGCAACUUGCUCACCACAUAUUUUUAUGGUUUUUAUUAUAAGCAAUCCUCUAAAAGAACUUCAAAAAAUGCAGGUGAACAAGGAAGAUGUCUAAAAAAUCGAAAUUAUCUCGUACAUCAAGCCAUCAAAAUUAACUCAACUGCGACUUAUAAAUAUUUCUGCACGGUUGUAUAGACUAAAACUUUAACAUGGGUAAGAACUUGCACCUAAUAAACAAGAAAAUAAAGCAAGAAAGUAUCGAAAAUACGAUUAUUGGAAGCAUCUAGAUCCUGCUUAACGAAGGAAGAAGUGUCAUUUUACCAAUGUUAGAUUGUGUUAAAAUUUAACUGUUAUAAAACAAGAACUGAGAUUGACUGAUCGAGAACAAUUGAUAGAAGUAUAGCAGUAAUAUCGGAUCUUUAAAUAUAUAAUCACACUGUCCGUCCUUUUGUUUACAUAACUUACUAAAAUAUUGUGAAUAUAUAUAUAAUAUAUAUAUUUGUAUGUAUUGGGUUUUAUUAUCAGCACACGCUAUGAAAGCAGUAAAUUAAUACUGAACUGUAAAUCAUUUACCCUAAUAUUCACUAUAAACCCUUA